RNAcentral lists this ribosomal RNA (292 nucleotides) under uncultured bacterium. RNAcentral describes it as "partial 16S ribosomal RNA". It matches the Rfam family "Bacterial small subunit ribosomal RNA", at positions 505 to 796 of the family's 1533-position model. The record is from RNAcentral.
GUGUCAGCAGCCGCGGUAAUACGGAGGAGGCAAGCGUUAUCCGGAUUUAUUGGGCGUAAAGCGUCCGCAGGUGGUUUAUCAAGUCUGCUGUUAAAGCGCGAAGCUUAACUUCGUAAGGGCAGUGGAAACUGAUGAACUAGAGGGUGAUAGGGGCAGAGGGAAUUCCCAGUGUAGCGGUGAAAUGCGUAGAGAUUGGGAAGAACACCGGUGGCGAAAGCGCUCUGCUGGGUCACACCUGACACUGAGGGACGAAAGCUAGGGGAGCGAAAGGGAUUAGAUACCCCUGUAGUCC